This 497-nucleotide ribosomal RNA is filed under the name uncultured bacterium. RNAcentral describes it as "partial 16S ribosomal RNA". It matches the Rfam family "Bacterial small subunit ribosomal RNA", at positions 28 to 507 of the family's 1533-position model. The record is from RNAcentral.
GAUGAACGCUGGCGGCGUGCCUAAUACAUGCAAGUCGAGCGAACAGACGAGGAGCUUGCUCCUCUGACGUUAGCGGCGGACGGGUGAGUAACACGUGGAUAACCUACCUAUAAGACUGGGAUAACUUCGGGAAACCGGAGCUAAUACCGGAUAAUAUAUUGAACCGCAUGGUUCAAUAGUGAAAGACGGUUUUGCUGUCACUUAUAGAUGGAUCCGCGCCGCAUUAGCUAGUUGGUAAGGUAACGGCUUACCAAGGCAACGAUGCGUAGCCGACCUGAGAGGGUGAUCGGCCACACUGGAACUGAGACACGGUCCAGACUCCUACGAGAGGCAGCAGUAGGGAAUCUUCCGCAAUGGGCGAAAGCUUGACGGAGCAACGCCGCGUGAGUGAUGAAGGUCUUCGGAUCGUAAAACUCUGUUAUUAGGGAAGAACAAAUGUGUAAGUAACUAUGCACGUCUUGACGGUACCUAAUCAGAAAGCAACGGCUAACUACGUG